Molecule: ribosomal RNA, 468 nt
Filed under: uncultured bacterium
Lineage: Bacteria
Description: partial 16S ribosomal RNA
Rfam family: Bacterial small subunit ribosomal RNA
Source: RNAcentral
GACGAACGCUGGCGGCGUGCUUAACACAUGCAAGUCGAACGGAAAGGCCCUGCUUUUGUGGGGUGCUCGAGUGGCGAACGGGUGAGUAACACGUGAGUAACCUGCCCUUGACUGUGGGAUAACUUCAGGAAACUGGGGCUAAUACCGGAUAGGAGCUCCUGCUGCAGGGUGGGGGUUGGAAAGUUUCGGCGGUUGGGGAUGGACUCGCGGCUUAUCAGCUUGUUGGUGGGGUAGUGGCUUACCAAGGCUUUGACGGGUAGCCGGCCUGAGAGGGUGACCGGCCACCUUGGGCCUGAGGUACGGCCCAGACUCCUACGGGAGGCAGCAGUGGGGAAUAUUGCACAAUGGGCGGACGCCUGAUGCAGCAACGCCGCGUGCGGGAUGACGGCCUUCGGGUUGUAAACCGCUUUCGCCUGUGACGAAGCGUGAGUGACGGUAAUGGGUAAAGAAGCACCGGCUAACUACGUG